RNAcentral lists this ribosomal RNA (689 nucleotides) under Desmognathus imitator (imitator salamander). RNAcentral's name for it is "partial small subunit ribosomal RNA". The record is from RNAcentral. Lineage: Eukaryota; Metazoa; Chordata; Amphibia; Caudata; Plethodontidae.
AAUCUCGUGCCCGCCCCCGCGGUUUACGAGAAACUCAUUUUAAUAUUCACGGCCCAAAGGGUAGUUUUAGACAUAAUAAAAUAGAAUUUAAAACUUAUUUAAUAGUUAUAUAUAAACAUAAAAUGUAAAUCCAAAAACGAAAGUUAUACUAUAUAUUCUUGAAUCUACUACAAUUGAGGAACAAACUGGGAUUAGAUACCCCACUAUGCUCAACUUUAAAAUGGAUUUUCCCGCCAGAGAACUACGAGCUACAGCUUAAAACUCAAAGGACUUGGCGGUGCUCUACACCCACCUAGAGGAGCCUGUUCUAUAAUCGACACCCCCCGAUAAACCUCACCACUUCUUGCUACUACAGCCUAUAUACCACCGUCCUCAGUUCACCUUUUAAAAGAAUAAUAGUGAACAAAAUAAUUCAAAAUAAAAAAGUCAGGUCAAGGUGCAGCAAAUGAAGUGGGAAGAAAUGGGCUACAUUUUUUAAUAAAAAAAACACGGAGUAUUAUAUGAAAUAAAAUAUAAAGGAGGAUUUAGAAGUAAAAAGAAAAAAGAGCGUUCUUUUUAAACUGGCAAUAGAGCACGCACACACCGCCCGUCACCCUCUUCAAAAAUAAAAUAAAUUAAAUAAAUAUAUAAAUUUAUAAGAAAAGGUAAGUCGUAACAUGGUAAGUCUACCGGAAGGUGGCCUUGGAUAU